Molecule: long non-coding RNA, 2622 nt
Organism: Lolium rigidum
Lineage: Eukaryota; Viridiplantae; Streptophyta; Magnoliopsida; Poales; Poaceae
Exons: 4
Source: RefSeq, a predicted model, not a curated record
CUACCGCGCUCUGUCUCGUGUUGGUAUUGUGAGGAGGCGGAAGCACGGCGGAGAAAGGUGUGGCGACGCCGCAUCCUGCAUUCCUGCUCGGCCGGAGUCGGAGGGGGCGAUGGCUGCGGCGACGUUGCAUCCUGGUCGGCCAGAGUUGGUGGGGGCGGAGCUUCUCGAGACGGGGAGAGCGCCGAUGGUGGUGCUUUGACGCCGCAGCCGGCGCUAGCGGCGAUGGGUAGAGUUGCAGCUCGCGUCCUUCUCCGUCCAACGAGGAAGAGAUCGGCGAUUCGGGAGCACGGAUGGCAUGUGCGCCUCCGGCGAGAUGGGGGCUUUCUUGAACAUUCCUUCCGCUGAUUCGUUGCUGCAUUUCUGGAUGUUUUCCAGCAAGAGCAAACACAACAUCAGUCUGAAUCUUGAUCAGAUCUUCCCAAGAUAUUUGUUGUAGAAUAGUGUUCUUCCCAUGGAAAGGUAUAGCAUGUAUUAAUAUUUCAGUCAUUCUAAGUGUUCUAAGUCAUGUUCUUCAGGCAGGUUAUUUGUCAGUAUUUUAGUCUUCAUUUCUUUCAGUCAUAUUAUUUUUUCUCUAGUCAUUUGUCUAAUUCUUCAGUCCCUCACUCUCUUAGUUUUUCAGUAACUUAGUUUCUCAAUUAAGCCUCUUUGUUUUCAGUUUUCAGUCCCUCUUUGUUUAGUCCCUCGGUUUAUUUUCUAAAGUCUCCCAUCAAUUCACUCACUCAUUUUUCGGCAUUUCACUCAGUAACUUAGUUAUUCAGUUUCUUUUCUCUUCAGCCUCUCAGUGUAUGUCGUCAGUUUUCACUUUCUGAUGUUCAAUAUUUAUUACGUUCAUCAUUUUUUUAGUCCUUCAUUCCUCGGGUUUUCAUUGUCCGUUGUUCAGUCCAUCAUUUUUUUCUUCAUUCUUCGGUGUCUCAUUCUUCAGUCCUCACUCACUCUUGAGUCUCUAAGUCUCCAACAACUUACCAAUAACUCAUUUAUUAGUCCUCGACCUUCUUUCUCCGGGCCACACUUUCUUCAAUAUCUCAGUCUUUGGAGGCUCUUCACUAACUCUUAGUAUUUCUAUUUACUAUUAGUCUUUAUUUGCAUUAACUCUCAUUCUUCAGUCUUUGAUGUCUUUUUCUUCAGCCACUCUUCAAUGACCCUUUUUUCAUUUUUAGUCAAAAGUGAGAACAAGACAGAAGAUUUCAUAAUGGAUAUAAAGACACUUUUUCCAUAGACCAGAGGGGAGAUCAGAGAGUGGAUACUUUUCAGUUCUACAUGGAACAUCAAGGUGCAAAUGUUGCUUCAUAUAUGUCUUUUUUUAAUUUAGUCCAAGUGAUGCUAUUCAUUUAUUAAAUUACUAUUAUUCCCAUUAUCUUGUUUUUCUUUUUCAGUUAAAGUGUUCAUUUUCUUGCAUCCAUCAAGAUAGGCUAUCUUUCUUAAUCAUAAUUCUGGUUCUCUUUGGUUCUCUUUUUGAGAGCCUCUUAGAUGCUUCUUUGGAGUUUGUUUUGUUCACACUAUUGCUUCUCUCUUGGAUUUGUCUGAGGUCUUGCUUUGAGCUUGUGUGCCUGUUUUGGAAAUAAAGUGUUUUAUUACUGUGCUGACCCCCACAGCGGAUGGACGAAUGUGUUUUCGAGGCCUCACUCUCUUUAAUAUCCCAACAUGCAUUUCUUUUUAUUUUAGUAUCUCUUAUUUUCCAGAGACUUGGUUAUCAUUGUCUCAUUAAUCUUCCUUCAGUUUUGAUGAUUUUUCUCAAAAGAAAUCAGUUUGGCAUCUUCAGAUUUUUUUAAGACAACAUCAUGUUACUUAGCAACACACCUGCAGUAGCAACUUGGUCGGCAACGGAAAUUUCAGCAGCUCCCAAAACCACAACCACUACCAAACUUGGUAACUGUCACUUGGUUCAGCAAUCAUCAGUUUACUUUUCUGGAAGAAGUUUGUACAAACUCUCGUCCUGUAGUUUUUUUUUACACAAACAGUUAGUGUUUUUCUUCUCCCAGUUAUGUUGAUGAUGAGGAUGUAUGUGAAUACAAUGUGGCUAUAAUACUUUUGGCUCAAUCAUCAGCUACUAUAUGCUCAGUUUCUCCUAAAUGUGUCUUUUCCAUUUGUCGUCAAAAACAUCCUGCUGUCUUUCAAUCACAUCAUACCAAAAUUAAUGAAGCACAUGGCAGGGAAUUCAGAGGUAAAACCUUUGUUGGAAGAGAUUGGGCAUUCCCAGCGUCUGGAUCUCGAGCUUCCAUAGAGGAGCAGCCGCAUCUUUUCCCCGUCGGAGUGGUUGGAGGUCGCGAUCUCUUUUUCAUGUUGGACAAGAAGGUCGAACAGGGAACGUGUGUUCUGGAGGUGUUUGUGGGCUUACAUACAAUUCACGUUAUAUUUGUUGGGAUUGUCGUUUAAUUUCUUGGCCUUUCCCUGCCAUGGGCUUAUAGAAAGCUUUAGAACUCAACGGAUACUGAAAUUCAAAAUGUGGACUCAAAAGUGUACUGAAUAAAAAUAUGCCUGUUCCGUUGGCAGAAAACAGACAGUUUUUUCGGUUCUUUUUCGUUUAGCUUAUUGUUGUGUAAUCUUUUACAGGUGUCAUUGUUUGAUUGGGUAGAAAAAACUGUCUGUUCCUCAAUUGAAAAACAGCUAUCUGUUGUAUAGUCA